Molecule: ribosomal RNA, 253 nt
Filed under: uncultured bacterium
Lineage: Bacteria
Description: partial 16S ribosomal RNA
Rfam family: Bacterial small subunit ribosomal RNA
Source: RNAcentral
UACGUAGGGCGCAAGCGUUGUCCGGAAUUAUUGGGCGUAAAGAGCUCGUAGGCGGCCUGUUACGUCUGCUGUGAAAGCCCGGGGCUUAACCUCGGGCGUGCAGUGGAUACGGGCAGGCUGGAGGCAGGCAGGGGAGAACGGAAUUCCCGGUGUAGCGGUGAAAUGCGCAGAUAUCGGGAGGAACACCAAUGGCGAAGGCAGCUCGCUGGGACGUGACUGACGCUGAGACGCGAAAGCGUGGGGAGCAAACAGG